This 71-nucleotide transfer RNA is filed under the name Nothoprocta ornata. RNAcentral's name for it is "tRNA-Val". RNAcentral also lists the same sequence under 1 other name. Lineage: Eukaryota; Metazoa; Chordata; Aves; Tinamiformes; Tinamidae. The record is from RNAcentral.
CAGGACGUAGCUAUAAAUCUAAAGCACUCAGCUUACACCUGAGAGAUGCCUUCUAACCUAGGCCGACCUGA